RNAcentral lists this non-coding RNA (30 nucleotides) under Homo sapiens (human). Lineage: Eukaryota; Metazoa; Chordata; Mammalia; Primates; Hominidae. The record is from RNAcentral.
UGGCUGAUCUGAAGGCCAUGACAUGAGAGU